This 253-nucleotide ribosomal RNA is filed under the name uncultured bacterium. Its description in RNAcentral is "partial 16S ribosomal RNA". It matches the Rfam family "Bacterial small subunit ribosomal RNA", at positions 524 to 776 of the family's 1533-position model. The record is from RNAcentral.
UACGGAGGAGGCAAGCGUUAUCCGGAAUUAUUGGGCGUAAAGCGUCCGUAGGUGGUUUAGUAAGUCUGCUGUUAAAGCGCGGGGCUUAACUCCGUAUCGGCAGUGGAAACUACUAGACUAGAGUGUGGUAGGGGUAGAGGGAAUUCCCAGUGUAGCGGUGAAAUGCGUAGAUAUUGGGAAGAACACCGGUGGCGAAGGCGGCGACCUGGUCCAUUACUGACGCUGAGGCGCGACAGCGUGGGGAGCAAACAGG